Molecule: ribosomal RNA, 495 nt
Filed under: uncultured bacterium
Lineage: Bacteria
Description: partial 16S ribosomal RNA
Rfam family: Bacterial small subunit ribosomal RNA
Source: RNAcentral
GACGAACGCUGGCGGCGUGCCUAAUACAUGCAAGUAGAACGCUGAAGGAGGAGCUUGCUUCUCCGGAUGAGUUGCGAACGGGUGAGUAACGCGUAGGUAACCUGCCUGGUAGCGGGGGAUAACUAUUGGAAACGAUAGCUAAUACCGCAUAAGAGUAGAUGUCGCAUGACAUUUGCUUAAAAGGUGCAACUGCACCACUACCAGAUGGCCCUGCGUUGUAUUAGCUAGGUGGUGAGGUAACGGCUCACCAAGGCCACGAUACAUAGACGACCUGAGAGGGUGAUCGGCCACACUGGGACGGAGACACGGCCCAGACUCCUACGGGAGGCAGCAGCAGGGAAUCUUCGGCAAUGGACGGAAGGCUGACCGAGCAACGCCGCGGGAGUGAAGAAUGUUGUCGGAUCGUAAAGCUCGGUUGUAAGAGAAGAACGAGUGUGAGAGUGGAAAGUUCACACUGUGACGGUAGCUUAACAGAAAGGGACGGCUAACUACGUG